UAAAACACUACCAAUAACAGUUAAAACCAAACUCCCUCAGCGCCUCUCCCCGAUCAAAUGAACGAUCCAAAGAGAAAUCCGAGGCGGACGGGGCUGCUGCAGGUUGGUGUUAUCAGCCCGACCUGGCACGCAGGUGCUGAUUUGCAGCGUUGCGCUGAGCCCAGCAGCAGCCGGGACUCCGCAUUAUCAUUUUUGGUGGAGUCUCUAUUUUUUUAACGACGGUGUUUUUCUUCCAGGGAUGUUUCUUUGAAAUGCAGUUCGCGACGAUUAUUAGCGAGUGUGCUCGCGCGGCUCCUGGCGUCAUUAAGACUAGGAAUCUAAAUAAUAAAAGACAGGGGGAGCUUAAAGUUCAUUUGUAUUAAAGGGACAAGAUGGAUUUAAAGAGAAACGAGGAGGGGAACCGUCGAGCUCCCCAGGUUUGGGAAGAUCGCCCUCCUUCCUCCCGAAGGCAUCAUGCGGUGCAGCGACGUGGGCGUUUAUGCCACCGUUUCUCUUCUGCUCCCAAACGUCACACUGAGGGGCGACGCAGUUUUUCUCUCUUUUUUCUUUUUUCUUUUUCCUUUUUCUUUUUUUUUUUUUUUUCCCUGAUGUUUUGAAGAUCCGAACACCUUCGUUUUGUUUACUUCAGUGGGACAAAGAACCCAGACGAAUUCAGCUCGUUGUUUGAUUACUUGUACAUGUGUAUAUAUAAUAUAGGAACCUGCCCGGCUUUUAUGCUUCGGCUCCCGCAGAGCAGCACAAAGAGUUCCGCGGCCCCGGAGCCGUUCUAUGUGACUCUGCACCGCGUGUGGGGAGCGCAGGGAGAACAGAACCUCAGCCCGGCCGGGCUCUAUGGGGAGAUUUCCUUGGACGGGGUUCUGGAUAAGCUCAGGGCGCAUCGUUACCACUCGGUCCCAUCCUGCAGAGCAAUGUGCUUACGGAGUCACGGGCACUUGGGCGCAAAGCAGCGCGCCUGCGCAACCCCCCGAAAUAGCAACCGAACAAAAACUCCAGCCCCGGAGGUGUGCGGAGGAUUUCCCCGUGGCUGCCGGCACCGGGAGCAUCCCUGACCGGCGGGAGCCUCUCCGGCCCGGGGAGGUUUGGCUUCGGCACGCGGCCCCAGCGGCGCUCCGGGAUCCCUCCCGCACCCCGCGAGGUGGCAGCGGGUUUUUACCCCCGGCCAUCAGAACCACAGCGGCGCCAGAGGUGCGGCGGGACGGGGAACUGCGAGCAUCCUUCGCCCCCAGCUCAGAGCUGCGGGCUGGGGACUUGCGGUCGGAGCCCUUUGCCUGCAUCGCUGCCAACUCUCACUAAUGCAGGAGGCGAGGGGAAAGUGUGCCCGCAUCGCAGCUGCUUUUUUCCCAACCUAUUAAUUUGCUUAAUAAACGCGAAGUCAGCUCUGCUUCCUCCCAGAGGAGCGGAGUCCCCCGGCCAUAGAGUGCUGCCAGCCAGGAGGCUGUGCUUAGCAAUGCAUGGGCAGAAGUGACAGACUUUGACACCCGGCACUUCGGGGCCCUAGGUUAGACAUGGCAUGGGAGGCUCAGCAGUAAGGCACAGCUGACUGGGGCACCUGCAUGGAGCUGCACAAAGUUUUGUGCACGGCAGGAGAUGGGGCUAAGCCACAGCGCAAGGCAGGGUGAGAGAGUGCCCAGCUCCCAGCCUGACCCAGCCUCGAAGGCAGGGGAUGACCAUGAAUGUCUGUGCAGCUGCAUUUACUUCCAUCUCAUCCUUUCAAUGAAAGCAACAGUUGUGCUGGGCUCCAGCAGGUGGGACCAAAGGAGAAGGGGGUUAUGCUCCCCCAAACCCCUGUAUGGCUACCCCAUGAUGCUGAGGUGCCUCCUCAGGGCUGUGACAUUUUGCCGGUGUCUGUCCAUGCUGGAGAGAUGCUCUCAUUUUUCUUUUUUAUUCCCUCUGUUUUAUGUCGGGCAGGAGCAUCAAUGGCAUCAGCUUUGGUGCUGUGAGCCGGCACUGCUCCAAAGGAAGCAGGAGGCUGAGUGUGUCAGUGAAGUAAGAAGGCUCCACAUCACUAAAGUUCAAACCACAACAGUGCUAAGUGAAACACCAGAAUAUGUGUAUCUAUCUCCUUCCUGAAAGCAAAAAGAGAAACAGCUUUGGGCACGAUAUAUGUAACUCAUACUUUGAAAAAUAAAGCUUUGAUGGACAAUGCAUUCCUACAGCUAAUUGCCUAUACUACAAUAGGAAUACAAGCAUCAGUGCCACAAUAAAUAAAUAAAUAAAUAAUAAU
Molecule: non-coding RNA, 2224 nt
Organism: Coturnix japonica (Japanese quail)
Lineage: Eukaryota; Metazoa; Chordata; Aves; Galliformes; Phasianidae
Source: RefSeq, a predicted model, not a curated record